This 726-nucleotide ribosomal RNA is filed under the name Triticum aestivum (bread wheat). RNAcentral describes it as "partial small subunit ribosomal RNA". The record is from RNAcentral. Lineage: Eukaryota; Viridiplantae; Streptophyta; Magnoliopsida; Poales; Poaceae.
AUGAAUUCUAAUGUCCGUGUUACUCAUCCAUGUGCAGAGGGGAAUAGCAGGUUACACGUCUCGGUGAGAGACUACUACUGUUACAUGCUCCAGACACGACCUAGGAUAUUCAAUCCCAUACUCUGUGGAGCACGAUUGCUCCAGCAAUGGGGGGUGGACAUGUACAUCAAGAUUGAGAGUUGUAGGUUGAAAUGGUACAGAAAGAACCAGACAAAGAUCCGUGCCGACCUGUAUAAAGGAGUUGUUGAUGCAAUUACAUCUGGGGAGACCCGGGCAAGCGCUGUUGGAGUAAGGAUAGUGCUCCCUGGAACGUACCCAGGUGGCGACCGCGACAUGAAGCGGAGGCAUAUGGAUGCCAUGGCAAUUGUCCAUACCUAUGGGAAGCCUGGCAUCUUCUUGACCAUGACCUGCAACAUUAACUGGGAAGAGAUAACGAAUGAGUUGUUUCCUGGUCAGACAGCGCAAGACCGACCUGAUCUUGUGGCUCGUGUGUUCCAUGGCAAGCUAGAGGCUAUGAAAGAGAUGUUGUUCAAGAAGAAUAUCUUGGGUGUUGUUGUCGCACAUGUAUACGUAGUCGAGUUCCAGAAGAGGGGCCUCCCCCAUGCACACUUUUUUUUAUCAUGGAUUCUGCCUAUAAGCUUGUUGUUCCGGAGCAGUACGACCGACUCAUUUCUGCCGAGCUCCCAGACAAGCAGAAGUAUCCUGAACUCCACGCCUUUGUGGUAA